Molecule: long non-coding RNA, 801 nt
Filed under: Malus domestica (apple)
Lineage: Eukaryota; Viridiplantae; Streptophyta; Magnoliopsida; Rosales; Rosaceae
Description: long non-coding RNA (MDOM_LNC009901)
Source: RNAcentral
GUUUGAAGCAAUGGUUAGCAGUUUGCCUAAGGAAAUCGUACAUGAUAUCCUUUUGAGACUACCUCCUAAAGCUUUGAUGAGAUGCACCUCGGUGUCCAAGCCUUGGAACUCCAUGAUAAAAAGUCCCAGCUUUAUUCGCACCAAGGUAUAAAAUAUCAAUGAUAUCGGAAAUGUCGGUAGUCCAAAAACACGGAAAUUUCGAUGGAAAUAUCGGGAUAUUAUCGAUAUCGAUAAAAAUUGAAUAAAAACCAUGGAAAUUGUUAGAAAAACUUGGAAAUUUUUAUUGAAACUUUGCUGGAUGUUUAUUUAGUCAAUUAUCUAUUAGUUUAUUACAAAAAAUUGGAAGGAAAUGCAUUGCAUGAUAGAUAUAACUGAUUUAAAUUGAUUAUAUAGCGAGCUGGCAAACAUGGUGAGUGUAGAAAAUAUGUAGUAAUUAAUGAAAGAAGUUUAAACACACCAUAAUCAUUUAUAUAUAAUGAAUUAGUACAAUAUUUUACACUUUAUACAUUUCAUGGUAAGAUACAUGAGUGACUUAGCAAGGUCUAAAAUAUCGAUGAUAUCGGAAAUAUCGGUAGUCCAAAAAAAUAUCACUAGUCCAAAAACGCGGAAAUUUCGAUGGAAAUAUCGGGAUAUUAUGGAUAUUUUAGACCAUGAUUCGCACCCACCUCAGCCGUACCAUCGAUUUUAAGCAGUUUGGCACCCACCGACUCCUUCUGCAUUGUGUUAGUGGAGACAAUCCAGUGGAGCAGAAUUACUAUUUGCAUUAUGAUAACCAUGCUUUUGAUGAGUACUGCAAGCUAG